AGCGAACGCUGGCGGCGUGCCUAACACAUGCAAGUCGUACGUGAACAAGGUUUCGGCCUUUAGUAAAGUGGCGUACGGGUGAGUAACGCGUAGGUAAUCUACCUUAAAGUUUGGAAUAACCUGCCGAAAGGCGGGCUAAUACUGGAUAUACGGAAAGGCUUAAAGCUUUUUCGGGAAAGGGAGCUCGUUAAGAGCCCUCGCUUUAAGAUGAGCUUGCGUCUCAUUAGCUAGUUGGUGAGGUAAAGGCUCACCAAGGCAAAGAUGAGUAGCUGGUCUGAGAGGAUGAUCAGUCACACUGGAACUGAAACACGGUCCAGACUCCUACGGGAGGCAGCAGUGGGAAUUUUGCGCAAUGGACGAAAGUCUGACGCAGCAACGCCGCGUGAGUGAAGAAGGCCUUCGGGUUGUAAAGCUCUGUCGAGCGGGACGAACAGUCCUUGGGUGAAUAGCCCAGAGAUUUGACGGUACCGCUAAAGGAAGCACCGGCUAACUCCGUGCCAGCCGCCGCGGUAA
RNAcentral lists this ribosomal RNA (513 nucleotides) under uncultured bacterium. RNAcentral describes it as "partial 16S ribosomal RNA". It matches the Rfam family "Bacterial small subunit ribosomal RNA", at positions 29 to 523 of the family's 1533-position model. The record is from RNAcentral.